Molecule: ribosomal RNA, 253 nt
Filed under: uncultured bacterium
Lineage: Bacteria
Description: partial 16S ribosomal RNA
Rfam family: Bacterial small subunit ribosomal RNA
Source: RNAcentral
UACGUAGGGUGCAAGCGUUGUCCGGAAUUAUUGGGCGUAAAGAGCUUGUAGGCGGUUUGUCGCGUCUGCUGUGAAAUUUCGGGGCUCAACCCCGAACUUGCAGUGGGUACGGGCAGACUAGAGUGUGGUAGGGGAGACUGGAAUUCCUGGUGUAGCGGUGAAAUGCGCAGAUAUCUGGAGGAACACCGGUGGCGAAGGCGGCAUCCUGGACCGGUAUUGACGCUGAGGCGCGAAAGCCAGGGGAGCAAACGGG